AGAGUUUGAUCCUGGCUCAGGACGAACGCUGGCGGCGUGCUUAACACAUGCAAGUGGAGCGACGAACCAGGGCUUGCCCUGGGGCAGAGCCGCGAACGGGUGAGUAACACGUGGGCAACCUGCCCCGAUGACUGGGACAACCCGAGGAAACUCGGGCUAAUACCGGAUGUGCUCCCUCACACCAGUGAGGUGAGUAAAGGAAGCUUCGGCCUCCGCAUUGGGAUGGGCCCGCGGCCCAUUAGCUUGUUGGUGGGGUAAUGGCCUACCAAGGCAACGAUGGGUAGCUGGUCUGAGAGGACGAUCAGCCACACUGGGACUGAGACACGGCCCAGACUCCUACGGGAGGCAGCAGUGGGGAAUCUUGCACAAUGCGCGAAAGCGUGAUGCAGCAACGCCGCGUGAGGGAAGACGGCCUUCGGGUUGUAAACCUCUUUCAGUUGGGACGAAGGUCGGGCGGUUAAUAGCCGUUCCGGCUGACGGUACCUUCACAAGAAGCCCCGGCUAACUACGUGCCAGCAGCCGCGGUAAUACGUAGGGGGCAAGCGUUGUCCGGAAUCAUUGGGCGUAAAGAGCGUGUAGGCGGCUUGAUAAGUCGGCUGUGAAAGUCAGGGGCUCAACCCUUGAAUGCCGGCCGAUACUGUCAAGCUAGAGUCCGGAAGAGGCGAGUGGAAUUCCUGGUGUAGCGGUGAAAUGCGCAGAUAUCAGGAGGAACACCAAUGGCGAAGGCAGCUCGCUGGGACGGUACUGACGCUGAGACGCGAAAGCGUGGGGAGCAAACAGGAUUAGAUACCCUAGUAGUCC
Molecule: ribosomal RNA, 801 nt
Filed under: uncultured bacterium
Lineage: Bacteria
Description: bacterial SSU rRNA
Rfam family: Bacterial small subunit ribosomal RNA
Source: RNAcentral